RNAcentral lists this ribosomal RNA (508 nucleotides) under uncultured bacterium. RNAcentral's name for it is "partial 16S ribosomal RNA". It matches the Rfam family "Bacterial small subunit ribosomal RNA", at positions 30 to 523 of the family's 1533-position model. The record is from RNAcentral.
AUUGAACGCUGGCGGCAUGCCUUACACAUGCAAGUCGAACGGCAGCGGGGGAGAAGCUUGCUUUUCCUGCCGGCGAGUGGCGAACGGGUGAGUAAUACAUCGGAACGUGCCCUGUAGUGGGGGAUAACUAGUCGAAAGAUUAGCUAAUACCGCAUACGACCUGAGGGUGAAAGUGGGGGACCGCAAGGCCUCAUGCUAUAGGAGCGGCCGAUGUCUGAUUAGCUAGUUGGUGGGGUAAAGGCCUACCAAGGCGACGAUCAGUAGCUGGGCUGAGAGUCCGAUCAGCCACACUGGGACUGAGACACGGCCCAGACUCCUACGGGAGGCAGCAGUGGGGAAUUUUGGACAAUGGGCGAAAGCCUGAUCCAGCAAUGCCGCGUGUGUGAAGAAGGCCUUCGGGUUGUAAAGCACUUUUGUCCGGAAAGAAAUGGCUCUGGUUAAUACCUGGGGUCGAUGACGGUACCGGAAGAAUAAGGACCGGCUAACUACGUGCCAGCCGCCGCGGUAA